Molecule: long non-coding RNA, 1153 nt
Filed under: Musa acuminata (dwarf banana)
Lineage: Eukaryota; Viridiplantae; Streptophyta; Magnoliopsida; Zingiberales; Musaceae
Description: long non-coding RNA (MACU_LNC000860)
Source: RNAcentral
AAGACCGAACUUUUUGGAGUGUUUUUCCCCUAAAAUCGACAAAUAAUUCUCAAAAUCAUACAAAUGACAAAUUUUAGUGCAACAUAAGCUGUAAAGAUUGAAUCUUUAUGAUAAAAGAUAUAAGAACAGAGGUGCCAAGAAAGACGGGAUAUAGAUACCAUUCUUGGAGCGCCAUCGAUCUCGGCGACCUCCAUGCCGGUGACGAUCAUGCCCGGGACGACCUCCCUGGUGAGUCGGACGAUGGCGUCCUCCGCUGCGUUCAUAUCCAGGGCCUUCAUCCCGGGCACCGAGUCGAUCAUCCCGAUGCCCUUCAGCCGCUUAACGCCGGUGGCGCCAAAGGGCCCGUCGUGGCCGCAGGAGCUCACCACCACCUUGGCCUCCAUCACGUUGGGGUCCAUGCAGGACUGGGUGUCAUGGUUCAUGGACACCAGCGCCCAGUUGGUCACCACGCCGGCGACGCGCCCUUCCUUGACGAUGAGGUCCUCGGCGGCGACGGCGUUGAAGAGCUUGACGUUGGGGCGGGCGAUGAGGCGGCUCAAGAUGGUGGAGGUGAAGAGUGCAGCGUGGCGGACCACGACGUAGCUGUCGGCCUCGUCGUACGGGACGCCGAGCUCGUCGAGGAAGAGGUGGGCGGGCUUGCGGACGACCAUGGCGGAGAAGAGCUGGCCGCCGAGCCACGCGCCGCCUCCUGGGGAGACGGACUGCUCCACGAUGGCCACGCGCACGGACGGGUCCUUGGAGAUCUCGUAUGCGCAGGACAGCCCCGCAGAGCCGGCGCCGAUGACCACCACGUCCGUAUCCGCAUAGCUGAUCAUGUCGGUCAUGUAGCGGCGGGUCAUCUCCCGGGAGACGAUGGACUCCUGGAUGGGCUUGAAGGAGAAGGAGCCAAGGUCAUACUUGGGGGCGGCCAAGGCGGAGGUGACAGACAGGGCGGCCUUGCCGCUGCCCGAGUGGGAUGGGAGGGGGGUAGCCGCCAGGCGGAGGCCACUGAAUGAGGAGCGGAGGUGGUGGUUGCCGGCGAAGAGGGACUUGGGGUUGGAGAGGAGGAAGGAGGUCGCCAUGGAUGCGGCCAUCGGAGGGAGCUCGGGAAGGGUAUGAGUUGGGGGUCUUGGAGAGGUUUAAGGAGGAUAAGAACGCGGUGGGAAGACGAGAG